RNAcentral lists this ribosomal RNA (316 nucleotides) under uncultured fungus. RNAcentral describes it as "LSU rRNA". It matches the Rfam family "Eukaryotic large subunit ribosomal RNA", at positions 320 to 667 of the family's 3401-position model. Lineage: Eukaryota; Fungi. The record is from RNAcentral.
AUAUUGGCGAGAGACCGAUAGCGAACAAGUACCGUGAGGGAAAGAUGAAAAGCACUUUGGAAAGAGAGUGAAACAGUACGUGAAAUUGUUGAAAGGGAAACGCUUGAAGUCAGUCGCGUCCGCCAGGAUCCAGCCUCACGGUGUACUUUCUGGUGGACGGGCCAGCAUCACUUUCAAUCAUCGGACAAGGUCGAGAGGAAUGUGGCACCUUCGGGUGUGUUAUAGCCUCUUGUCGUAUACGGUGACUGGGAGUGAGGACCGCCUUUGUAGGAUGCUGGCGUAAUGGCUUUAAACGACCCGUCUUGAAACACGGACC